RNAcentral lists this ribosomal RNA (238 nucleotides) under uncultured bacterium. RNAcentral's name for it is "partial 16S ribosomal RNA". It matches the Rfam family "Bacterial small subunit ribosomal RNA", at positions 96 to 334 of the family's 1533-position model. The record is from RNAcentral.
CGGCGGACGGGUGAGUAACGCGUGGGUAACCUGCCUCAUACAGGGGGAUAACAGUUAGAAAUGACUGCUAAUACCGCAUAAGACCACAGCACCGCAUGGUGCGGGGGUAAAAACUCCGGUGGUAUGAGAUGGACCCGCGUCUGAUUAGCUGGUUGGUAAGGUAACGGCUUACCAAGGCGACGAUCAGUAGCCGACCUGAGAGGGUGACCGGCCACAUUGGGGCUGAGACACGGCCCAA